CAAGGAAAUGACACAGCAAGAGACCAUUACGUACACAGUUAGCUCUAGCUAGCCUAUUUUUUCUCUGGUUUCUUUUGGUCAAUCUAGCAUUAUGGGUGCUAUUGCCAAUUGUGUUCUGCAUGCUCUCUUGCUGUGUCAUUUCCUUGUGCUGGCUGAUCGUGUUAGUGGCGAUGAUAAGGAUGCUAAACACUUGUUUUUUCAUCGCCCUUUGUUGAGAGGAGGAGGCCUAGGCCAUGGCAUUUAUAAGAAAGGGUUUAAACAUGACGGUUUUGGUGGUGGCAUAGGUGGAGGUGCUGGUUUUGGUGGUGGAGUAGGUGGAGGAGGGGGUCUAGGAGGUGG
This 339-nucleotide unclassified non-coding RNA is filed under the name Hevea brasiliensis (rubber tree). The record is from RNAcentral. Lineage: Eukaryota; Viridiplantae; Streptophyta; Magnoliopsida; Malpighiales; Euphorbiaceae.